UACGAAGGGGGCUCGCGUUGCUCGGAAUUACUGGGCGUAAAGGGAGCGUAGGCGGGUUACCAAGUUGGGGGUGAAAGCCCGGGGCUCAACCUCGGAAUUGCCUUCAAAACUGAUAACCUGGAGUAUGGAAGAGGUAAGUGGAACUCCGAGUGUAGAGGUGAAAUUCGUAGAUAUUCGGAAGAACACCAGUGGCGAAGGCGACUUACUGGUCCAUUACUGACGCUGAGGCUCGAAAGCGUGGGGAGCAAACAGG
Molecule: ribosomal RNA, 253 nt
Filed under: uncultured bacterium
Lineage: Bacteria
Description: partial 16S ribosomal RNA
Rfam family: Bacterial small subunit ribosomal RNA
Source: RNAcentral